CCCCAGACUCCUACGGGAGGCAGCAGUGGGGAAUAUUGCACAAUGGGGGAAACCCUGAUGCAGCGACGCCGCGUGAGUGAAGAAGUAUUUCGGUAUGUAAAGCUCUAUCAGCAGGGAAGAAAAUGACGGUACCUGACUAAGAAGCCCCGGCUAACUACGUGCCAGCAGCCGCGGUAAUACGUAGGGGGCAAGCGUUAUCCGGAUUUACUGGGUGUAAAGGGAGCGUAGACGGCAUGGCAAGUCAGAUGUGAAAGCCCGGGGCUCAACCCCGGGACUGCAUUUGAAACUGUCAGGCUGGAGUGCAGGAGAGGUAAGUGGAAUUCCUAGUGUAGCGGUGAAAUGCGUAGAUAUUAGGAGGAACACCAGUGGCGAAGGCGGCUUACUGGACUGUAACUGACGUUGAGGCUCGAAAGCGUGGGGAGCAAACAGGAUUAGAUACCCCUGUAUCC
This 449-nucleotide ribosomal RNA is filed under the name uncultured bacterium. RNAcentral's name for it is "partial 16S ribosomal RNA". It matches the Rfam family "Bacterial small subunit ribosomal RNA", at positions 329 to 795 of the family's 1533-position model. The record is from RNAcentral.